RNAcentral lists this ribosomal RNA (878 nucleotides) under Citrobacter freundii. RNAcentral describes it as "partial 23S ribosomal RNA". It matches the Rfam family "Bacterial large subunit ribosomal RNA", at positions 354 to 1239 of the family's 2925-position model. Lineage: Bacteria; Pseudomonadati; Pseudomonadota; Gammaproteobacteria; Enterobacterales; Enterobacteriaceae. The record is from RNAcentral.
GGUACAGGGUGAUAGUCCCGUACACCAAAAUGCACAGGUUGUGAACUCGAAGAGUAGGGCGGGACACGUGGUAUCCUGUCUGAAUAUGGGGGGACCAUCCUCCAAGGCUAAAUACUCCUGACUGACCGAUAGUGAACCAGUACCGUGAGGGAAAGGCGAAAAGAACCCCGGCGAGGGGAGUGAAAAAGAACCUGAAACCGUGUACGUACAAGCAGUGGGAGCCUCUUUAUGGGGUGACUGCGUACCUUUUGUAUAAUGGGUCAGCGACUUAUAUUCUGUAGCAAGGUUAACCGUAUAGGGGAGCCGAAGGGAAACCGAGUCUUAACUGGGCGUUAAGUUGCAGGGUAUAGACCCGAAACCCGGUGAUCUAGCCAUGGGCAGGUUGAAGGUUGGGUAACACUAACUGGAGGACCGAACCGACUAAUGUUGAAAAAUUAGCGGAUGACUUGUGGCUGGGGGUGAAAGGCCAAUCAAACCGGGAGAUAGCUGGUUCUCCCCGAAAGCUAUUUAGGUAGCGCCUCGUGAAUUCAUCUUCGGGGGUAGAGCACUGUUUCGGCUAGGGGGUCAUCCCGACUUACCAACCCGAUGCAAACUGCGAAUACCGAAGAAUGUUAUCACGGGAGACACACGGCGGGUGCUAACGUCCGUCGUGAAGAGGGAAACAACCCAGACCGCCAGCUAAGGUCCCAAAGUCAUGGUUAAGUGGGAAACGAUGUGGGAAGGCACAGACAGCCAGGAUGUUGGCUUAGAAGCAGCCAUCAUUUAAAGAAAGCGUAAUAGCUCACUGGUCGAGUCGGCCUGCGCGGAAGAUGUAACGGGGCUAAACCAUGCACCGAAGCUGCGGCAGCGACACUAUGUGUUGUUGGGUAGGGGAGCGU